Molecule: ribosomal RNA, 215 nt
Filed under: uncultured bacterium
Lineage: Bacteria
Description: partial 16S ribosomal RNA
Rfam family: Bacterial small subunit ribosomal RNA
Source: RNAcentral
GACGAACGCUGGCGGCGUGCUUAACACAUGCAAGUCGAGCGGUAAGGCCCUUUCGGGGGUACACGAGCGGCGAACGGGUGAGUAACACGUGGGUGACCUGCCCUUAGCUCUGGGAUAAGCCUGGGAAACUGGGUCUAAUACCGGAUAUGACUCCAUGACGCAUGUUGUGGGGUGGAAAGCCUUGUGCGGCUAGGGAUGGGCCCGCGGCCUAUCAG